CUCCACAUCACUCCUCAGGGAGGAAAUGAACGCCCAGGCAGGCAGAGCUGUGGGCAUCUACAGCAGGCCCUGUGCUGCUGUCACAACCUCACCCUGGUCCCCUGAGGCGGAUAUCACCAUCCCAUUUCAGAGACAAGGAAAAUGAGGCCCAGGUGCGUGAAGAAACUGGCCUAUCAAGGCAGAGCUAGCGGGUAGCAUGCUGGACUUCUAAGCCUUCCUGAGAAAGUGAACUGCUUCCUCUGAGAUGGGCAUAGGCAUGGCUGUGUGUGCAUCUUGUCCUGACCAUUCCACAGUGGCUGUUAUCACACUCCAUUUACAAGUUGGCUCAGAAAACCGGAGGUGAAGCUGAAGCAGCCCAGCUGGCCCUAAGAAGCCCUGGACGCUCCCUCCCAUCCUCACAUCGUUGAGUCAAUGCUAUUAUUUGAAUGUCUGUGUCCCCUCCAAAAUUCAUGUUGGAACUUAAUCCUUAAGGAGCAGUUUUAAGAGAUGGGGCCUUUAGGUCAUGAGGGCUCUGCUCUAUGAAUGGAUUAGUGUCUUAUAAAAGGGCUUGAGGGGGCCAGUUCCCCCCUCUUCAGUCCCAUAUGCCAUGUGAAGACACAGUUCAUGGUGCCAUCUUGGAAGCAGAGAGCAACCCUUAACAGACACUGAACAAGCCCGUGCCUUGAUCUUGGACUUCACAGCGUCCAGAACAGUGAGAAAUAAAUUUCUGUUGUUUACAAAUUA
Molecule: long non-coding RNA, 723 nt
Organism: Homo sapiens (human)
Lineage: Eukaryota; Metazoa; Chordata; Mammalia; Primates; Hominidae
Source: Ensembl